Molecule: non-coding RNA, 1261 nt
Organism: Callorhinus ursinus (northern fur seal)
Lineage: Eukaryota; Metazoa; Chordata; Mammalia; Carnivora; Otariidae
Source: RefSeq, a predicted model, not a curated record
UCAGAGACACCUCUGAUCCCCCCAAAUCCACAGGAACACUCGCUGGCCGGCCGUUCCAGCCAGCCUCGCGCUGCCAGCCCCGGGCUGGGGGACCCCACACCAAGCAUCAGCACCAUGAAAGAGGACCUACAGACCCUGCUGGCCUUGGAACAGGCCAACAUCAUAGCCAAUUACACUCAGGCACGCCCAGCAGGGUCUCCACGGGACCCAUGGGAAGAUGCUGAGCUCUCGCGGUGCAGGCUCACGGACCAUCAUGGCUUUCGGCACAACUUCUCCAGGAGACCCGGAGAGCCGACAAGUGGGAGAAGAUGCUGCGGAGCUGGGAGCACUACCGGGUGCGCGGUCAGCUGUGGGCCCUCCUGCUCGAUACUGAAAAGGUGAAGUCCACCAAGCGAGGGGUCUACGAGAAGAUGACGGAGCAGGCCCAGCUCUUCUCCAGAGACAUCAGGCAAAUUGACCUGGACGUGAACCGGACCUUCCAGAACCACGUCACGUUCCGGGACCGCUAUGGGGUCAGAUCAGUGGUAUGAUGAACCCCCAGAUGCCGUCCCCGGUCCAGCCCGGCUCCUGUGCUCACCACAUGCCACCCCAGCAGCAAGUGUGUCCCAGCAAAGCCCAGACCUCGGGUCGACACUGUCUAGAGUCAUCUCAGUAUGCGCCUUAGAAAACGGGGGUCCCCGAUGGAUGUGUGCCCCCCACACCGGCUCCAGCCUGCAAGGAUUUAGUGCAGCCCCUUAGUGUGCGGACGGUGUUGGCGCCUCCCCGGCCCCCGUCGGGGUCUCUGGAUGGUCCGUCCUCCUCAGGAGCCCGGGUUUGGUGUUGAGCCGCCGGGUGUGGGGGAGACCCUGACGAUGUGGGGGCCUAGCGGGAGGGGCGGGAAUGCAGUAUGCGCCCGGACCGGUGGGGUGCAGCCAGAUCGCCAUGGGAGGAGCUCUGUCUGUGCGGCCAGCGGCUGGCGGUGUGCUUCACAGCACGGGGCCCCGGGGAGGCCGAGCUGGAGGCCAGGAAGGCCGGUGCCGAGGAGCCGCCAGGCAGGCGUGGACUGAGCCUUCCAGGGGACCGUCCCCAACCCAUCUCAUGAGGAGACGUCGACAUUCCUCCACGGAAGGGGGUGCCUUGUACCCCGGAACCUGGGUGGCCCCUGCGUCGGCCUUGGCCCUCAGAGGGCGGCCGCGUCACGGCUGACCUGUGACGCCCGGUCCAGGGCGAGCCAGCCUCCAGCAGCCUGAGACCCCCAGGCACCACCCCAAACAUCCAUCCC